Molecule: ribosomal RNA, 433 nt
Filed under: uncultured bacterium
Lineage: Bacteria
Description: partial 16S ribosomal RNA
Rfam family: Bacterial small subunit ribosomal RNA
Source: RNAcentral
AACGAACGCUGGCGGCAUGCCUAACACAUGCAAGUCGAACGAGACCUCCGGGACUAGUGGCGCACGGGGGCGUAACGCGUGGGAACCUGCCCUUAGGUUCGGAAUAACUCCCCGUAGGGGGUGCUAAUACCGGAUAAUGUCUUCGGACAAAAGAUUUAUCGCCUUUGGGUGGGCCCGCGUUGGAUUAGCUGGUUGGUAGGGGAAAAGCCUACCAAGGCGUCGAUCCAUAGCUGGUCUGAGAGGAUGAUCAGCCACACUGGGGCUGAGACACGGCCCAGAAUCCUACGGGAGGCAGGAGAGGGUAAUAUAGGACAAUGGGCUAGAUCCUGAACCAGCAAUGCCGGGUGAGUGAUGAUGUCCGUAGGGAUGUAAAGCUGUUUUACCCGGGAUGAUAAUGACGGUACCGGGAGAAUAAGCACCGGCUAACUCCGUG